Molecule: ribosomal RNA, 481 nt
Filed under: uncultured bacterium
Lineage: Bacteria
Description: bacterial SSU rRNA
Rfam family: Bacterial small subunit ribosomal RNA
Source: RNAcentral
GGCUACGAGGACGAACGCUGGCGGCGUGCCUAACACAUGCAAGUCGAACGGAGUCAGAAAGCUUGCUUUUGACUAGUGGCGGACGGGUGAGUAACGCGUGAGUAACCCUGCCUCUGAGAGGGAAUAACGUUCUGAAAAGAACGCUAAUACCGCAUAACGUAUUGAAGCCGCAUGACUUUGAUACCAAAGAUUUUAUCGCUCGGAGAUGGACUCGCGUCCGAUUAGUUAGUUGGUGAGGUAACGGCUCACCCAAGACCGCGAUCGGUAGCCGGACUGAGAGGUUGAUCGGCCACAUUGGGACCGAGACACGGCCCAGACUCCUACGGGAGGCAGCAGUGGGGAUAUUGCGCAAUGGGGCAACCCUGACGCAGCAACGCCGCGUGAAGGAUGAAGGUUUUCGGAUUGUAAACUUCUUUUAUCAGGGACGAAAUCUGACGGUACCUGAUGAAUAAGCUCCGGCUAACUACGUGCCAGCCGCGGC